RNAcentral lists this ribosomal RNA (253 nucleotides) under uncultured bacterium. RNAcentral describes it as "partial 16S ribosomal RNA". It matches the Rfam family "Bacterial small subunit ribosomal RNA", at positions 524 to 776 of the family's 1533-position model. The record is from RNAcentral.
UACGAAGGGGGCUAGCGUUGCUCGGAAUGACUGGGCGUAAAGGGCGCGUAGGCGGUUUGGACAGUCAGAUGUGAAAUUCCUGGGCUCAACCUGGGGGCUGCAUUUGAUACGUUCGGACUAGAGUGGGGAAGAGGGUCGUGGAAUUCCCAGUGUAGAGGUGAAAUUCGUAGAUAUUGGGAAGAACACCAACGGCGAAGGCAGCUCGCUAGGACGGUACUGACGCUGAGACGCGAAAGCGUGGGGAGCGAACAGG